CGCUGGCGGCGUGCUAACACAUGCAAGUCGAACGAGAAAGUGGAGCAAUCCAUGAGUACAGUGGCGACCGGGUGAGUAACACGUGACUAACCUGCCCUCGAGUGGGGAAUAACUCCGGGAAACCGGAGCUAAUACCGCAUAACAUCGCAAGAUCAAAGUCGAAAGACGCUUGAGGAGGGGGUCGCGGCUGAUUAGCUAGUUGGUAGGGUAAUGGCCUACCAAGGCUGAGAUCGGUAUCCGGCCUGAGAGGGCGCACGGACACACUGGAACUGAAACACGGUCCAGACUCCUACGGGAGGCAGCAGUGGGGAAUUUUGCGCAAUGGGGGAAACCCUGACGCAGCAACGCCGCGUGGAGGAUGAAGUCCCUUGGGACGNUAACUCCUUUCGACCCGGACGAUACUGACGGUACGGGUGGAAGAAGCACCGGCUAACUCUGUGCCAGCAGCCGCGGUAAUACAGAGGGUGCGAGC
This 472-nucleotide ribosomal RNA is filed under the name uncultured Actinomycetales bacterium. RNAcentral describes it as "bacterial SSU rRNA". It matches the Rfam family "Bacterial small subunit ribosomal RNA", at positions 34 to 539 of the family's 1533-position model. The record is from RNAcentral. Lineage: Bacteria; Bacillati; Actinomycetota; Actinomycetes; Actinomycetales.